Molecule: ribosomal RNA, 325 nt
Filed under: Veillonella parvula
Lineage: Bacteria; Bacillati; Bacillota; Negativicutes; Veillonellales; Veillonellaceae
Description: bacterial SSU rRNA
Rfam family: Bacterial small subunit ribosomal RNA
Source: RNAcentral
UUGGGUUAAGUCCCGCAACGAGCGCAACCCCUAUCUUAUGUUGCCAGCACUUUGGGUGGGAACUCAUGAGAGACUGCCGCAGACAAUGCGGAGGAAGGCGGGGAUGACGUCAAAUCAUCAUGCCCCUUAUGACCUGGGCUACACACGUACUACAAUGGGAGUUAAUAGACGGAAGCGAGAUCGCGAGAUGGAGCAAACCCGAGAAACACUCUCUCAGUUCGGAUCGUAGGCUGCAACUCGCCUACGUGAAGUCGGAAUCGCUAGUAAUCGCAGGUCAGCAUACUGCGGUGAAUACGUUCCCGGGCCUUGUACACACCGCCCGUCA